Molecule: long non-coding RNA, 782 nt
Organism: Lycium barbarum (goji berry)
Lineage: Eukaryota; Viridiplantae; Streptophyta; Magnoliopsida; Solanales; Solanaceae
Exons: 3
Source: RefSeq, a predicted model, not a curated record
UUUAGGGGCACAAACGGUAUUAUAAGUUUGGAAUUUGGAAAAAUACCAAGAAAUAGAAGUUGUAGAUAAUUGAAUUAGCUUUCCAACCAUAGGUCGUGGGUUCCCAGGUGACGUCGGUACAAGGAGAUAUGGACAUUUUAAGGCAGAAAGGUCGAGAUGAACAGUGAAUUCGGCCCAACCCGACUUCAAAUCGGGUCAGGCCCAUUUCUGUUGUCAUUUAAUGAAAAGUUUCGGUUUUCUCUCCACAUUUCAGACCAAAUCACACCCAUAAACAUUUAGAACAUUCUAGAGAGAGAAAGGGAGGAGAAAUUUAGAGAGAAAUCAAUUUUGACCAAAAUCUAAGCCCCGAAUCGCGAAGCUCAUGAAGGGAAAAGUGUUGUACACUGCGCUGUCUUCAAUUUGAGCUAAAAAUCAACCAAGGAGGAGGGUGAUAACGUGGUGGCUGAAUUCUUAAGAUUUUGGCGAAUUUGAAACUUGAUUUUGGAGACGUGUAUGAAGCGGAAAAGGUCAACAGACAGACGGGUUUAAUCCCUAGGAGCUUCACCAGCUGUUCCUUGAGAGUGCUCCAGUUGAUCCGGAGCUUCAGCCUAUUGGUACUACUUUUGUGUAUAUAAUCGGGCACGGCAGAACUCGGCCCUUCCUAUGUAUAUAUGCACUUUGUUUAGAGGCUCGUAGACAGAUAUGGACAGUUAGAUGUUUUGUACUUUGGAUUGUCCUCGUCGCUGUAUAACGUGCUAACAAAGUUUAUUAGCCUAUGUUUAUAAAUAGCUACUAAUGUUAAU